GCGCACCAGGCGCGAAACUUCACACUGUGCGAAAGCACGAUGAGGGAAUCCCAAGUGCUUGCACGUAAGUGUAAGCUGUUUCUCUGUCUAAACGCAGAGAGAGUAAGGGCUGGGUAAGACGGGUGCCGAGCCGCCGCGGUAAUACCUGCAGCUCAAGUGGUGACCGUUAUUAUUGGGCCUAAAACGUCCGUAGCCGGUUUAAUAAAUGCCUGGGUAAAUUGUGUAGCUUAACUAUACGAAUUCCGGGUAGA
RNAcentral lists this ribosomal RNA (251 nucleotides) under uncultured microorganism. Its description in RNAcentral is "partial 16S ribosomal RNA". It matches the Rfam family "Archaeal small subunit ribosomal RNA", at positions 330 to 583 of the family's 1478-position model. The record is from RNAcentral.